UGGGGUGUAGCCAAGACGGCAAGGCGGCGGACUUUGGAUCCGUGAUCGCUGGUUCGAAUCCAGCCACCCCAGCCA
RNAcentral lists this transfer RNA (75 nucleotides) under Aminobacterium colombiense. Its description in RNAcentral is "tRNA-Gln". It matches the Rfam family "tRNA". From Rfam's summary of the family: Transfer RNA (tRNA) molecules are approximately 80 nucleotides in length. Their secondary structure includes four short double-helical elements and three loops (D, anti-codon, and T loops). Further hydrogen bonds mediate the characteristic L-shaped molecular structure. tRNAs have two regions of fundamental functional importance: the anti-codon, which is responsible for specific mRNA codon recognition, and the 3' end, to which the tRNAs corresponding amino acid is attached (by aminoacyl-tRNA synthetases). tRNAs cope with the degeneracy of the genetic code in two manners: having more than one tRNA (with a specific anti-codon) for a particular amino acid; and 'wobble' base-pairing, i.e. permitting non-standard base-pairing at the 3rd anti-codon position. The record is from RNAcentral. Lineage: Bacteria; Thermotogati; Synergistota; Synergistia; Synergistales; Aminobacteriaceae. RNAcentral also lists the same sequence under 2 other names.